CUCUGUAGCUUAACUGGAUAGAGCACCUGACUACGGAUCAGGAGGUUAGGGGUUCGAAUCCCUUCAGA
Molecule: transfer RNA, 68 nt
Filed under: marine eukaryotic metagenome
Rfam family: tRNA
About the family: Transfer RNA (tRNA) molecules are approximately 80 nucleotides in length. Their secondary structure includes four short double-helical elements and three loops (D, anti-codon, and T loops).
Source: RNAcentral